CAGCCGCCGCGGGAAUACGUAGGUGGCAAGCGUUGUCCGGAAUUAUUGGGCGUAAAGGGCUCGCAGGCGGUUUCUUAAGUCUGAUGUGAAAGCCCCCGGCUCAACCGGGGGGGGUCAUUGGAAACUGGGAAACUUGAGUGCAGAAGAGGAGAGUGGAAUUCCACGUGUAGCGGUGAAAUGCGUAGAGAUGUGGAGGAACACCAGUGGCGAAGGCGACUCUCUGGUCUGUAACUGACGCUGAGGAGCGAAAGCGUGGGGAGCGAACAGGAUUAGAGACCCCGGUAGUCCCUGUCUCUUAUAC
RNAcentral lists this ribosomal RNA (301 nucleotides) under uncultured bacterium. RNAcentral's name for it is "partial 16S ribosomal RNA". It matches the Rfam family "Bacterial small subunit ribosomal RNA", at positions 509 to 807 of the family's 1533-position model. The record is from RNAcentral.